UACGAAGGGGGCUAGCGUUGUUCGGAAUUACUGGGCGUAAAGCGCACGUAGGCGGAUUUGUAAGUAGGGGGUGAAAUCCCAGGGCUCAACCCUGGAACUGCCUUCUAAACUGCAAGUCUGGAGGUCAGGAGAGGCGAGUGGAAUACCGAGUGUAGAGGUGAAAUUCGUAGAUAUUCGGUGGAACACCAGUGGCGAAGGCGACUCGCUGGACUGAUACUGACGCUGAGGUGCGAAAGCGUGGGGAGCAAACAGG
This 253-nucleotide ribosomal RNA is filed under the name uncultured bacterium. RNAcentral's name for it is "partial 16S ribosomal RNA". It matches the Rfam family "Bacterial small subunit ribosomal RNA", at positions 524 to 776 of the family's 1533-position model. The record is from RNAcentral.